CCUACGGGUGGCUGCAGUGGGGAAUAUUGGACAUUGGGGGGAACCCUGAUCCAGCCAUGCCGCGUGUGUGAAGAAGGCCCUCGGGUUGUAAAGCACUUUCAGUGAGGAAGAACGCCUGGUGGUUAAUACCCAUCAGGAAAGACAUCACUCACAGAAGAAGCACCGGCUAACUCCGUGCCAGCAGCCGCGGUAAUACGGAGGGUGCGAGCGUUAAUCGGAAUUACUGGGCGUAAAGCGCGCGUAGGUGGCUUGAUAAGCCGGUUGUGAAAGCCCCGGGCUCAACCUGGGAACGGCAUCCGGAACUGUCAAGCUAGAGUGCAGGAGAGGAAGGUAGAAUUCCCGGUGUAGCGGUGAAAUGCGUAGAGAUCGGGAGGAAUACCAGUGGCGAAGGCGGCCUUCUGGACUGACACUGACACUGAGGUGCGAAAGCGUGGGUAGCAAACAGGAUUAGAUACCCGAGUAGUC
This 465-nucleotide ribosomal RNA is filed under the name Vreelandella stevensii. RNAcentral describes it as "partial 16S ribosomal RNA". It matches the Rfam family "Bacterial small subunit ribosomal RNA", at positions 338 to 795 of the family's 1533-position model. The record is from RNAcentral. Lineage: Bacteria; Pseudomonadati; Pseudomonadota; Gammaproteobacteria; Oceanospirillales; Halomonadaceae.